Molecule: ribosomal RNA, 749 nt
Filed under: uncultured bacterium
Lineage: Bacteria
Description: bacterial SSU rRNA
Rfam family: Bacterial small subunit ribosomal RNA
Source: RNAcentral
GGGUUCGUAAGUCAGUGGUGAAAUCCUACAGCUUAACUGUAGAACUGCCAUUGAUACUGCGAGUCUUGAGUGUAGUUGAGGUAGCUGGAAUGAGUAGUGUAGCGGUGAAAUGCAUAGAUAUUACUCAGAACACCAAUUGCGAAGGCAGGUUACCAAGUUACAACUGACGCUGAUGGACGAAAGCGUGGGGAGCGAACAGGAUUAGAUACCCUGGUAGUCCACGCUGUAAACGAUGCUAACUCGUUUUUGGAUUUUCGGAUUCAGAGACCAAGCGAAAGUGAUAAGUUAGCCACCUGGGGAGUACGUUCGCAAGAAUGAAACUCAAAGGAAUUGACGGGGGCCAGCACAAGCGGUGGAUUAUGUGGUUUAAUUCGAUGAUACGCGAGGAACCUUACCAAGACUUAAAUGGGAGUGGACAGGCUUAGAAAUAGGCUUUUCUUCGGACCACUUUCAAGGUGCUGCAUGGUUGUCGUCAGCUCGUGCCGUGAGGUGUUAGGUUAAGUCCUGCAACGAGCGCAACCCCUGUCACUAGUUGCUAACAUUAAGUUGAGGACUCUAGUGAGACUGCCUACGCAAGUAGAGAGGAAGGUGGGGAUGACGUCAAAUCAUCACGGCCCUUACGUCUUGGGCCACACACGUAAUACAAUGGCCGGUACAGAGGGCAGCUACACAGCGAUGUGAUGCGAAUCUCGAAAGCCGGUCUCAGUUCGGAUUGGAGUCUGCAACUCGACUCUAUGAAGCUGGAAUCG